ACUCCUACGGGAGGCAGCAGUGGGGAAUAUUGCACAAUGGGCGCAAGCCUGAUGCAGCCAUGCCGCGUGUAUGAAGAAGGCCUUCGGGUUGUAAAGUACUUUCAGCAGUGAGGAAGGUGGGUAUGUUAAUAGCAUACUCAUUUGACGUUAGCUGCAGAAGAAGCACCGGCUAACUCCGUGCCAGCAGCCGCGGUAAUACGGAGGGUGCGAGCGUUAAUCGGAAUUACUGGGCGUAAAGCGCAUGCAGGUGGUUUGUUAAGUCAGAUGUGAAAGCCCGGGGCUCAACCUCGGAAUUGCAUUUGAAACUGGCAAACUAGAGUACUGUAGAGGGGGGUAGAAGUUUCAGGUGUAGCGGUGAAAUGCGUAGAGAUCUGAAGGAAUACCGGUGGCGAAGGCGGCCCCCUGGACAGAUACUGACACUCAGAUGCGAAAGCGUGGGGAGCAAACAGGAUUAGAUACCCUGGUAGCGUAG
RNAcentral lists this ribosomal RNA (472 nucleotides) under uncultured bacterium. RNAcentral's name for it is "bacterial SSU rRNA". It matches the Rfam family "Bacterial small subunit ribosomal RNA", at positions 335 to 798 of the family's 1533-position model. The record is from RNAcentral.